Molecule: ribosomal RNA, 375 nt
Filed under: uncultured bacterium
Lineage: Bacteria
Description: bacterial SSU rRNA
Rfam family: Bacterial small subunit ribosomal RNA
Source: RNAcentral
AUACGUAGGUGGCAAGCGUUGUCCGGAAUUACUGGGUGUAAAGGGCGUGUAGGCGGGGAUGCAAGUCAGAUGUGAAACCCCACAGCUUAACUGUGGGCUUGCAUCUGAAACUGUAUUUCUUGAGUGUUGGAGAGGGAAGUGGAAUUCCUAGUGUAGCGGUGAAAUGCGUAGAGAUUAGGAGGAACACCAGUGGCGAAGGCGACUUCCUGGCCAACAACUGACGCUGAGGCGCGAAAGCGUGGGGAGCAAACAGGAUUAGAUACCCUGGUAGUCCACGCCGUAAACGAUGGAUACUAGGUGUAGGUGGAAAAGACCAUCUGUGCCGGAGUAAACACAAUAAGUGUCCCGCCUGGGGAGUACGGCCGCAAGGUUGAA